Neopsephotus bourkii (Bourke's parrot) is the source of this 805-nucleotide long non-coding RNA. RefSeq lists it as uncharacterized. NCBI's taxonomy places the organism in Eukaryota, Metazoa, Chordata, Aves, Psittaciformes, Psittacidae. The record is from RefSeq and is a predicted model, not a curated record. The transcript has 2 exons.
CCCAGGCACAGCCCUGUGCUGAAUGACUUUGUCACAAAGGAAGUAAGGCUGCCGGCUGUCCCUGCUGUCGAUGUGACACUGUACAAAGGUAAGAUGAGAAAAGAGACAACAACUGAAGACAGAGGAAAGGAGGGAAGCCAGAAUCAUGAUAAAGAGAGAGCUUGGAGAGUAGCAAGAGAUGUCUCUGAUAGACAGCGAGGGAUCCGCAUCCAUCAGAGAUCUGAGCUAUGGACCUUGCUGGCAGGUUAAGAUGUCUCCAGGAUUUCCAGCCUUCUCCUGAAGCUUCGUGGUCUAAUUGCUCAUCCCUAGAGCACAGGAUUAUGAUGGAGCAUCCCUGGGUGUGUGAUCAAGAAGAUCUUACGCCACUUGAUUUGCUCCGAACAAAGGGUAAAGUGCAGAAGACCGGUUGCAGCUGGGAGAGAAGGGAUCUCUGCUUUCCAUGGGAGUGAUGGAGCCCAUCUGGGCUUGGCCAGAUAGGGGAGAGCUCCAAAAGGAUCAUGAGGUUUUCUGCCUGCUGGCUCUCACCACAACCCACCCGUCUCUGACAACCCAUUCAGCACUGGCUUUUCUCCAUGGUGGCAAAUGCCAUGUGUUAAAGCCUGGGUGGGAUCCAGCUCUGUGCCAGCCAGCCUGAACCCAGGACACAGGGGACACAGGAGGCUCAGGGACCUGGAGCAGCAAUGUCCAAGGGGGGCGCUGGAAUGAGAGCUUUGUGCUCUCCAUCUCCAUCCUUCCCACACUGAGAGCGAUUCCCCACCACUGGUAUCCUGCAGCAGGAGGGUGUGAGAUAAAAGCCAGCAACGAA